This is a long non-coding RNA of Fundulus heteroclitus (mummichog), 486 nucleotides long. RefSeq lists it as uncharacterized. The transcript is spliced from 4 exons. The record is from RefSeq and is a predicted model, not a curated record. Lineage: Eukaryota; Metazoa; Chordata; Actinopteri; Cyprinodontiformes; Fundulidae.
AAGCUGCUGUUCAGGCAGGUCUUGUAGGAGAAGACACUAAAGACAAACUGGUGUUUGCUCUGGAAUCAGCAGCAGCUUUGGCCUGGUGUUUGAAGCCUCCACCUGAUGGCUUCAUCACACAGAACCACAGCAGAACCUCCCAGGAUCAACCUCCAGAACCAGCAGGCGCUGGUACCAGCUGUAACGAUCCAGCAGGAAGUCCAGAACCAGGAGAAACCAGAGUUCUGCUGGAGACCCAGAACCAAGAUCAGGUGGCAGAACCAGGAGAAACCAGAGUUCUGCUGGAGACCCAGAACCAAGAUCAGGUGGCAGUUCACUUUAAGAAGGAACCAGAAGGAACCAAAGUUCUGCUGGAGACCAGAAACCCAGACAGAAAACGGUACCUUGUUGUCGACUGUGCAGAUCGACAUGUUACCUUCACUGUUCAUGAAGUCCUGGAAGGAGGAGCCUUGAAGAUGCUGGACAAUGACUUUACACGGUAUCUGG